GUCGAGCGGACAGAUGGGAGCUUGCUCCCUGAUGUUAGCGGCGGACGGGUGAGUAACACGUGGGUAACCUGCCUGUAAGACUGGGAUAACUCCGGGAAACCGGGGCUAAUACCGGAUGGUUGUUUGAACCGCAUGGUUCAGACAUAAAAGGUGGCUUCGGCUACCACUUACAGAUGGACCCGCGGCGCAUUAGCUAGUUGGUGAGGUAACGGCUCACCAAGGCGACGAUGCGUAGCCGACCUGAGAGGGUGAUCGGCCACACUGGGACUGAGACACGGCCCAGACUCCUACGGGAGGCAGCAGUAGGGAAUCUUCCGCAAUGGACGAAAGUCUGACGGAGCAACGCCGCGUGAGUGAUGAAGGUUUUCGGAUCGUAAAGCUCUGUUGUUAGGGAAGAACAAGUGCCGUUCAAAUAGGGCGGCACCUUGACGGUACCUAACCAGAAAGCCACGGCUAACUACGUGCCAGCAGCCGCGGUAAUACGUAGGUGGCAAGCGUUGUCCGGAAUUAUUGGGCGUAAAGGGCUCGCAGGCGGUUUCUUAAGUCUGAUGUGAAAGCCCCCGGCUCAACCGGGGAGGGUCAUUGGAAACUGGGGAACUUGAGUGCAGAAGAGGAGAGUGGAAUUCCACGUGUAGCGGUGAAAUGCGUAGAGAUGUGGAGGAACACCAGUGGCGAAGGCGACUCUCUGGUCUGUAACUGACGCUGAGGAGCGAAAGCGUGGGGAGCGAACAGGAUUAGAUACCCUGGUAGUCCACGCCGUAAACGAUGAGUGCUAAGUGUUAGGGGGUUUCCGCCCCUUA
RNAcentral lists this ribosomal RNA (800 nucleotides) under Bacillus amyloliquefaciens. RNAcentral describes it as "bacterial SSU rRNA". It matches the Rfam family "Bacterial small subunit ribosomal RNA", at positions 61 to 842 of the family's 1533-position model. Lineage: Bacteria; Bacillati; Bacillota; Bacilli; Caryophanales; Bacillaceae. The record is from RNAcentral.